GAUGAACGCUGGCGGUGUGCCUAAUACAUGCAAGUCGAGCGAACAGACGAGGAGCUUACUCCUCUGACGUUAGCGGCGGACGGGUGAGUAACACGUGGAUAACCUACCUAUAAGACUGGGAUAACUUCGGGAAACCGGAGCUAAUACCGGAUAACAUGUUGAACCGCAUGGUUCAACAGUGAAAGACGGUCUUGCUGUCACUUAUAGAUGGAUCCGCGUCGCAUUAGCUAGUUGGUAAGGUAACGGCUUACCAAGGCAACGAUGCGUAGCCGACCUGAGAGGGUGAUCGGCCACACUGGAACUGAGACACGGUCCAGACUCCUACGGGAGGCAGCAGUAGGGAAUCUUCCGCAAUGGGCGAAAGCCUGACGGAGCAACGCCGCGUGAGUGAAGAAGGUCUUCGGAUCGUAAAACUCUGUUAUUAGAGAAGAACAAAUGUGUAAGUAACUAUGCACGUCUUGACGGUACCUAAUCAGAAAGCCACGGCUAACUACGUG
RNAcentral lists this ribosomal RNA (497 nucleotides) under uncultured bacterium. RNAcentral describes it as "partial 16S ribosomal RNA". It matches the Rfam family "Bacterial small subunit ribosomal RNA", at positions 28 to 507 of the family's 1533-position model. The record is from RNAcentral.